RNAcentral lists this long non-coding RNA (954 nucleotides) under Mus spicilegus (steppe mouse). RNAcentral describes it as "lncRNA (ENSMSIG00000004713.1)". Lineage: Eukaryota; Metazoa; Chordata; Mammalia; Rodentia; Muridae. The record is from RNAcentral.
GCCUGCACCUUUCAAUGAGAGUCCUACAGGAGUCGGAGAGUUCAAAGGUGAAAGCUCCAAGAAGUGUUAAGAUAAUCAAGGCUAUCUCGGCCUACUCAAAGAACCCCAAAAAUGACCAGGAAAGAUGGGCACUCAAAGAGGCAUUGCAAGAGAGGAGGCAUUCCCUUGUUAGUAACUUUUUCAGGCAGCCAAGGACAUAUUUCCAGAAAAUCCACCAGCAUGGCACAGAACCACGUGCAAUUCAACAAGUCAAAGCUUUUUCCUCUCCAACAGGACCUGGGUCAUCGUCCUGGAAAACGAAGAAGGAACUUUUCCCUGAGUGUUCACAUCAUCCAAGAAGUCAUGGAUGGCUUCAGGAGAAGUUUGGAAAGUAUCUUUGGACAGGAUGGACACAUUGAGCUCGUUCCUAUUCAGCCAAUCUUUCAUCCUUCCUCUCUUUCCUCCCUUCUCCUCUUCUCGGUGCUGCAGAGUGAGUUUAAGGCCCUUUGCAUUCUGGUUCAUUGCUCUGCAACUGAAACGUCUCUUUAAGUUACCUUUAAGUUACAAAGGGGAUUCGAAGGCAGAGGACAGAAGCAGCCCUUCCUUCCCCAUGCUCUCUCUCCUCAAACUGUACAAUUUAUUUUAUUGUUGGCAGACUUUGUAAGUUGCCUGCUCUAGCUACGCUUUUGAGUAUCUAUUGUAUACUUAGUCUCAUAAUGAGGUUUGACACUCAUCCUUUUCCUCUUCUGGUGCUUCCAGCUUCUCAGACUAAGCAGCUGCCAAUUUCCCUGACUGUCUAAGUUUGCCUAUGGCCAUUAUGUAACUUUGCAGCCUCUGUGGUCACAUGAAUCAGUCUACUAACCUCCUCAUAUAUGUGUGUGGGAGCUCCAAUGUGAUAUGCAGUAUAACUUAUGAAUUUAAAUGUUUGUAAUCUCCUUUAUACAACUGCUAAGACCCUGCCAGGAAGUAAUCAAU